AAGUAGGGAGAAUUAACACAGAUAUACCAAGGGAUACAGAGAGACGGAACAUCACACUAAAUCAAACAGGGUAUAGCAAAAUUUGGAAACUAUAUAAAGCAACACAAACGGUCAGUUAAAACACAAUCAACGCAUGGUUUGGUUGAAUACGCUGUUUCAAAGAUUGUGAAAUUGUAAGUUAAGUGUGAAAUUUAAGAUAGUGAUAGAAUACUUACCGUAGAGAGACCUUUGGGGGGGAGACACGCGCACAGUUAAGGGGUAAAGUAAAUCUGUCCCGAGGCUUUAAGAAGGCCAGCGAUGUAGGAGGGCUAAGGCUUAUAGACAAUGGGACACAAAUUUGCAUGAUAUAAGUUGUCAGGCACACAGUUGUCAGGCACCGGGCGCAGCAGCGCACACUUAGAGGUCCCCAGGCACACAACCAUAGGUAGAGACAACACAGCGACACAGAAACACAAAGAAUAGCAUACGACGUAGACACACCAGCAGAGAAACACAAAGACAACAGAUCUCAUACCUUCCCGUAAAGGUGGUUCGAACUUGAUUAGGCGCUUUCGUGCCUGCAUGAAUUACUCUUUGGUUUUUUUCGGUAAAGUCACGUAGAAAUA
Molecule: non-coding RNA, 605 nt
Organism: Petromyzon marinus (sea lamprey)
Lineage: Eukaryota; Metazoa; Chordata; Hyperoartia; Petromyzontiformes; Petromyzontidae
Source: RefSeq, a predicted model, not a curated record